This is a long non-coding RNA of Malaya genurostris, 739 nucleotides long. RefSeq lists it as uncharacterized. Lineage: Eukaryota; Metazoa; Arthropoda; Insecta; Diptera; Culicidae. The record is from RefSeq and is a predicted model, not a curated record. The transcript is spliced from 6 exons.
UUCUUCGUAAUAUCAAUCGAUUUUCAUCAACCGCAAUCAGCCUGCUUUCGGUAUGCGGAAGAAAGUUUAACCAGAAAUACGACUUAUUAAAUAAAUUGGGGUCUUUCUUCGUAAUAUCAAUCGAUUUUCAUCAACCGCAAUCAGCCUGCUUUCGGUAUGCGAAAGAAAUAAAUAAAUUGGGGUCUUUCUUCGUAAUAUCAAUUGAUUUUCAUCAACCGCAAUCAGCCUGCUUUCGGUAUGCGAAAGAAAGUUUAACCAGAAAUACGACUUAUGAAAUAAAUUGGGGUAAAACGGUAUAGCAAGAUUCGUGCGGUCAUUGAAUUCAUUUGUAAUCCUAUUUUCAGGUCUUUCUUCGUAAUAUCAAUCGAUUUUCAUCAACCGCAAUCAGCCUGCUUUCGGUAUGCGGAAGAAAGUUUAACCAGAAAUACGACUUAUUAAAUAAAUUGGGGUCUUUCUUCGUAAUAUCAAUCGAUUUUCAUCAACCGCAAUCAGCCUGCUUUCGGUAUGCGAAAGAAAUAAAUAAAUUGGGGUCUUUCUUCGUAAUAUCAAUUGAUUUUCAUCAACCGCAAUCAGCCUGCUUUCGGUAUGCGAAAGAAAGUUUAACCAGAAAUACGACUUAUGAAAUAAAUUGGGGUCUUUCUUCGUAAUAUCAAUCGAUUUUCAUCAACCGCAAUCAGCCUGCUUUCGGUAUGCGGAAGAAAGUUUAACCAGAAAUACGACUUAUUAAAUAAAUUGGGGU